AGCUACGUCAAGUACCAUGAGGGAAAGAUGAAAAGGACUUUGAAAAGAGAGUUAAAAGUGCCUGAACUCGCUGAAAGGAAAGCGGAUGGAACCAGUCGUGCUUGGCGAGAUUGUUGNGUGCAAAGGUGACUGCUCACUGCUCGUAGCGUAAGCGCAGCAGCGGGUUUCGAUCUGGUCGCGCGCGAUGCUUCUUGCCUUGUUCGUCAUCGUUGGUUUGGAGGCGCGGACAACUCUUGGGACAUGGUAACUCGCCCACGGGCGAGCGAAUGUGCCUUGCAGAACUCACCUCCAAACUGAUGUCUCUUGUUAGGUUCUGUUGCCGUAGUACGGCGACGUACGUUUGUACGAAACGAACGUCGGUGGUACACGAAGUAGGUUCGGUUACUUACGUACCCGGUACCCGUUUCGUUAACGAAAACCGGACCCGGAAACCGGAAAGGGUACGUUAACCUAAACUAAUUAGUUGGUCGAACGUAAACGUUUACGGGUUGGGGUCGGGAAACCCGUAAACCUUAGUUGGUCGGCCGAACUAGUAAAGGUAAGGUAGGUAGGUCGUCGUAGGAAGUAGUCGUUCGUUCGACUACUACGACGACGACCGG
RNAcentral lists this ribosomal RNA (599 nucleotides) under Gymnodiniaceae sp. ZH-2018a. Its description in RNAcentral is "partial large subunit ribosomal RNA". Lineage: Eukaryota; Dinophyceae; Gymnodiniales; Gymnodiniaceae. The record is from RNAcentral.